This is a non-coding RNA of Podospora conica, 103 nucleotides long. The record is from the annotation of a GenBank genome assembly. Lineage: Eukaryota; Fungi; Ascomycota; Sordariomycetes; Sordariales; Podosporaceae.
GGGGUUGUAGUAUAGUGGUUAUACGUCUCGCCAAACCUACUGACCCGCAAGGGUCGGUUUCCACCCAGGCGAGAAGACGCGGGUUCGAUUCCUGCCAACCCCC